Molecule: unclassified non-coding RNA, 240 nt
Filed under: soil metagenome
Description: partial contains 5.8S ribosomal RNA, internal transcribed spacer 2, and large subunit ribosomal RNA
Source: RNAcentral
AAGACUAUAGACCUGCGGAGUACCUGCGGAAGGAUCAUUACAUGGCGGAGAAGGUGGGCAACCUGGCCAACAUCCAGGUUGUGAUGCCUUCACGCUCUUCCACCCUUGUCUAUUUGCACCUUCUGUCGUUCCCUCGGCGGGUUUCGACCCGCCGGCGGCAACAUUGAAAAACCCUUUUUGCAGUUAGCAUUCAAUUCUUCUGAUCAAAAUAUCAAAUCGUUACAACUUUUAGCAACGGAU